RNAcentral lists this long non-coding RNA (1927 nucleotides) under Bos indicus x Bos taurus (hybrid cattle). Its description in RNAcentral is "lncRNA (ENSBIXG00000030093.1)". Lineage: Eukaryota; Metazoa; Chordata; Mammalia; Artiodactyla; Bovidae. The record is from RNAcentral.
GUUAGAAGAGCACACAUAGAGGCUGGCGGUUGGUUACCCCUCUUUGCUGUCUAACGCAGCAGAGCUUUGAGAUGGACGCUGCGAUGCUAUGUGAGGUCUUAGUGUGCUUUGGACUGUAUCACACAGAGGUCGUGGCUUCUGCUUCUUCUGAGGAUGCUUGAAUUUAAAGACAGAACCCAGGGAUUUUUUUUUUUCUUUAAAGAAAUGCCUUGUAGAAGAGGACAUUUCUACAAUUGCUUGCACCAAGGACAAUUCUUUGAUAAUAUUUUAAUGUUGUUGUUUUGGCUUCAUCUGAAUGUAAGUUCAAGGCUGAGAAACAGACUUAAAACAACCCCAGAUUCAGUCCUGCUGAUUCAGGCACCAGAGAUGCCCUUUCCGCAUUCCCUGGAAGUUACAGUCUGGGGUUCCCUGCUCCUGUUCCCUGCUCUUCUUCACCUGAGGCCACGGAGUGGGGGCAGCUCCUCAUGGGAGGAAGAUGGCCUUCUCCUCACGAGGCAUUGGUUCGGGUGAUUAAUGCUGCUGUUGGGUCUUCGCUGCUGUCCUGUGACUAAGCCGAUCCCAAGUGCCUCCGGCAAAGACCAGUCCUUCAUCUCCGAAGAGCGUCUGUUAACCUCUCUCGAUGGAUACCAAGUUGGGACUUUAAGCACAGCCAUGAAUCUCAGAGCAACAUGUCCAAGACUCAAGUACAGGCAAUAUAGCCAGCCUGCCCGUGAGGCACUGAGGGAGAUGAAGAAGGUUGGAGGUCUGGAAAAUGGUGGAAUGCCUUGGACUGGAGGACCACAAGCCACUGGUUUCAUCAUUCAGCGACCUAUAAAUCAGAUGGAUGUGGAAAUAGAGAGGAGGAGGGCUUUCCAGCUCCAGCUGAGGAAAGGGUGUCACCUGCCUUGCGGAGGCAUCUUCUCAUCUGGUCCUCAUGGUCAGUUUUGAUUUGAACUAUGUUCUGUGACAUGGUUUUUAUGGACCCCACACAGGGGAAGAAUAUGUUUCAGGCAGCCUUGCUGUGGUCACAAAUAGUCUCUAAGCCUCCAUGUAUGUGGUGAUGGUUUAGUUGCUAAGUUGUGUCCAACUCUUUGUGACCCCAUGGACUGUAGUCUGCCAGCUCCUCUGUCCAUGGGAUUUCCCAGGCACAAAUACUGAAGUGGGUUACCAUUUCCUUCUCCAGGGGAUCUUCCUGACCCAGGAAUCAAGCCCAGGUCUCCUGCACUGCAGACAGUCUCUUUUGCAUUGCAGGUGGAUUCCUUACUGACUGAGCCACCAGGGAAGCCCCCUGGUCUCCAAUAAUGUUGAUUUCCUCUCGACAUCUCCUGCUGGUGACCACGGUUGGCUGUGACUGCCAUGGUUCAACUCGGGUCAGCUUGGCCUUGCAUCAAAUGUCUGGUUCUUGGACUUAGGCUGAAGGAACAGUAUCCACCAGGACAAGCUAUCCUUGUAGAGAAGGAAAGCACACGGAGGCUGGUGGAAAGCCUACACUUCUGCACCCAAUCGUAUUUGCACCCACGUUCUGAGUCCCAUAAAGCCACAAGGCUGAGCUGUCCGAUGGGGUAGGGAGAGGUGUCCUGUCUCCUAGGAGGCAACACAAGCCACAGAACAGCAGCAUGAAGGCCUUCUUUCAGGCAAGGGGAUGAACAUGUGGGGACAGUCACAUGGUCGUCCCAGUGUGUCUAUGCUCACGAGACUUCUUGCUCAGUUUUAUAGAAAUCCCGGGUACAUUGAGCUUUAGUGAGUCAGAAGUGUUGGUGCGUCUAAAGCCAAUGCACUGGGUUUUUAUCCGCAGCCAUUUCUCAUCUGCACAGAGUGCUCUUCAGUGUUUUCCAGGGCAUCAUUUGUCCUUCAGACUGAUGUUUUCAAAGGUGAGUUUAACUGAGAGCUAAGCUGGACUGAAACAAAAAGGUUUUUCUUAUAUUUGGGUGUUCUCUGGAAAAAAAAA